Molecule: ribosomal RNA, 117 nt
Filed under: Lysurus cruciatus
Lineage: Eukaryota; Fungi; Basidiomycota; Agaricomycetes; Phallales; Phallaceae
Description: 5.8S ribosomal RNA
Rfam family: 5.8S ribosomal RNA
About the family: 5.8S ribosomal RNA (5.8S rRNA) is a component of the large subunit of the eukaryotic ribosome. It is transcribed by RNA polymerase I as part of the 45S precursor that also contains 18S and 28S rRNA.
Source: RNAcentral
CAACUUUCAACAACGGAUCUCUUGGCUUUCGCAUCGAUGAAGAACGCCGCGAAAGCGCGAAACGUAAUGUGAAUUGCAGAAUUCAGUGAAUCAUCGAAUCUUUGAACGCAUCUUGCG